CCUACGGGUGUCUGCAGUGGGGAAUAUUGCACAAUGGGGGAAACCCUGAUGCAGCGACGCCGCGUGAGUGAAGAAGUAUUUCGGUAUGUAAAGCUCUAUCAGCAGGGAAGAACAUGAUGGUACCUGAUUAAUAAGCCCCGGCUAACUACGUGCCAGCAGCCGCGGUAAUACGUAGGGCGCAAGCGUUAUCCGGACUUACUGGGUGUAAAGGUAGCGGAGACGGGAGCACAAGUCUGGAGUGAAAGGCCGGGGCUUAACCCGGGAACUGCUUUGGAGACUGUGCAGCUAGAGUGCAGUAGAGGUAAGGGGAAGUCCUAGUGUAGCGGUGAAAUGCGUAGAGAUGAGGAGGAACACCAGAGGCGAAGGCGGCUUACUGGACUGUAACUGACGUUGAGGCUCGAAAGCGUGGGGAGCAAACAGGAGUAGAUACCCUUGUAGUC
This 440-nucleotide ribosomal RNA is filed under the name uncultured bacterium. Its description in RNAcentral is "partial 16S ribosomal RNA". It matches the Rfam family "Bacterial small subunit ribosomal RNA", at positions 338 to 795 of the family's 1533-position model. The record is from RNAcentral.